CCCGCCCACCUCCACGCGGGGCCGCCCGCGCCAGUCAACUCCGCGCACCUUGCCCCUGCUUGGCAGCAGAUAAAACGGGGGCUGAGGCAAUACAGGAUACUGUCACCCACUGCCAGCUCUAGCCUUAAAUUCCCGGCUCCGGAACCUCCACGCGCUGCAGCUCGGGCCGGACACCCAUCCAGCGUGCACCGGCGAGCUCCGAAACCGAAGUCCCCCAGCGCCCGCUAACUCCGCUCCGCAGCCUCGGCCCCUGGAAAGUGAUCUCGGCAUCCGAGAGCCAAGAUGCGGGCCCACUUGCUGCAGGAGGAGAUCUCUAGCUCCUAUACCACCACCACCACCACAGCGCCUCCCUCCAAGGUCCCGCAGAAUGGAGGAGAUAAGUUGGAGAAGACACCCCUCUAUUUGGAAGAAGACAUUCGCCCUGAUAUAAAAGAUGAUAUAUAUGACCCCACCUACAAGGAUAAGGAAGGCCCAAGGCCCGAGGUUGAAUAUGUCUGGAGAAACAUCAUCCUGAUAUCUCUGCUACACUUGGGCUCCCUGUAUGGGAUCAUUUUGAUUCCUACCUACAAGUUCUACACCUGACUUUGGGGGUUAUUCUGUUAUUUUGUCAGUGUCAUGGGCAUAACAGCAGGAGUUCAUCGCCUGUGGAGCCACCAAACUUACAAAGCUCGGCUGCCCCUGCGGGUCUUUCUGAUCAUUGCCAAUACAAUGGCAUUCCAGAAUGAUGUCUUUGAAUGGGCUCGUGACCACCGUGCCCACCGUGCCCACCACAAGUUUUCAGAAACAGAUGCUGAUCCUCAUAAUUCCCGACGUGGCUUUUUCUUCUCUCACAUGGGCUGGCUGCUUGUGCCCAAACACCCAGGUGUCAAAGAGAAGGGCGGUACACUGGACUUGUCUGACCUAAAAGCUGAGAAACUGGUGAUGUUCCAGAGGAGGUACUACAAACCUGGCAUGCUGCUGAUGUGCUUCAUCCUGCCCACACUUGCGCCCUUUUAUUUCUGGGGUGAAACUUUUCAACACAGCUUGUACGUUGCCACUUUCUUGCGAUAUGCUGUAGUGCUUAAUGCCACCUGUCUGGUGAACAGCGCUGCCCACCUCUACGGAUAUCGUCCUUACGACAAGAACAUUAGCCCCCGGGAGAACGUCCUGGUUUCGCUUGGAGCUGUGGGUGAAGGCUUCCACAACUCACCACUCCUUUCCCUAUGACUACUCUGCCAGUGAGUACCGCUGGCACAUCAACGUAACCACAUUCUUCAUUGAUUGCAUGGCUGCCCUCGGUCUGGCCUAUGACCGGAAGAAAGUCUCCAAGGCCGCCAUCUUGGCCAGGAUUAAAACAAUUGGGGGUGGAAGCUACAAAAGUGGCUGAGUUUGGGGUCCCUCGGGUUCUUUUUCAAAGUCAGCCAGGCAGAGAGGUUUUAUGUCUGUUUAUUAACUACUGAAUAAUGCUACCAGGAUGCUAAAGAUGAUGACGUUAACCCGUUCCAGUACAGUAUUCUUUUAAAAUGCUAAAGUAUUGAAAGACAAGAACUCUGCCUUUAUGAUGCUAGGCUGAUAUUUUUUCUUCUAUCCUCUCUCUCUUCUAAGCCCAUUGUCCUCCUUUCACUUUGUUGCUAUCACCUUCCUUUCUCUUCUCAUUGCUUCCCAGGCAAGCAGCUGAUCAGUCAUUGUUCAGUGUGUAGCUUCCAAAGCCUAGACAACCUUUCUGUAGCAAGUAAUAGUCUUUGCUCCAAAUAACUCUCUUUCCUUGAGCUGUUGUGAGCUUUGAGGCCGGUGGCUCAAGCUAGAGAUAAAACAGAACCUGGACAGUUCCCUGUGAAUUAUCUUCAGCCCAGGCUUUUGCUAGAUGGAAUGGAAAAGUAACUUCAUUUGACACAAAGCUUCUAAAGCAGGUGAAUUGUGGGGGGAGGGAGUUAGCAUGUAUGGAUGUAAGGACCAGGGAAAUGAAGCAAGAGGAAGCUCUUGCCAUGAUCAGACAUGCAGCUGCCUACCUAGUGAGGACUUCAAGCCCCACCACACAGCAUGCUUCCUUUCUCUCCUGGCUUGGGGUAAGAAGUGGCUGUGGAGUUUGGCAAUGCUAAUCUCAAUGUGACAAUGUAUCGUUUAGGCUGAGGAUAAA
Molecule: non-coding RNA, 2116 nt
Organism: Callithrix jacchus (white-tufted-ear marmoset)
Lineage: Eukaryota; Metazoa; Chordata; Mammalia; Primates; Cebidae
Source: RefSeq, a predicted model, not a curated record